RNAcentral lists this ribosomal RNA (432 nucleotides) under uncultured bacterium. RNAcentral's name for it is "partial 16S ribosomal RNA". It matches the Rfam family "Bacterial small subunit ribosomal RNA", at positions 29 to 506 of the family's 1533-position model. The record is from RNAcentral.
AACGAACGCUGGCGGCAUGCCUAACACAUGCAAGUCGAACGAGACCUUCGGGUCUAGUGGCGCACGGGUGCGUAACGCGUGGGAACCUGCCCUUAGGUUCGGAAUAGCUCCCCGAAAGGGGUGCUAAUACCGGAUAAUGUCUUCGGACCAAAGAUUUAUCGCCUUUGGAUGGGCCCGCGUUGGAUUAGCUAGUUGGUAGGGUAAAAGCCUACCAAGGCGACGAUCCAUAGCUGGUCUGAGAGGAUGAUCAGCCACACUGGGACUGGGACACGGCCCAGACUCCGACGGGGGGCAGCAGUGGGGAAUAUUGGAAAAGGGGAGAAAGCCUGAUCCACAAAGGCCGGGUGGGUGAUGAAGGCCUUAGGGUUGAAAAGCUUUUUUACCCGGGAUGAUAAUGACAGUACCGGGAGAAAAAGCCCCGGCUAACUCCUU